UACGAAGGGUGCAAGCGUUACUCGGAAUUACUGGGCGUAAAGCGUGCGUAGGUGGUGAGUUAAGUCUGUCGUGAAAGCCCCGGGCUCAACCUGGGAAUGGCGAUGGAUACUGGCUCGCUAGAGUGCGGUAGAGGAGAGUGGAAUUCCCGGUGUAGCAGUGAAAUGCGCAGAUAUCGGGAGGAACACCAAUUGCGAAGGCAGCUUGCUGGGACGGUACUGACGCUGAGGCGCGAAAGCGUGGGGAGCAAACAGG
This 253-nucleotide ribosomal RNA is filed under the name uncultured bacterium. RNAcentral describes it as "partial 16S ribosomal RNA". It matches the Rfam family "Bacterial small subunit ribosomal RNA", at positions 524 to 776 of the family's 1533-position model. The record is from RNAcentral.